This 402-nucleotide ribosomal RNA is filed under the name bacterium. RNAcentral's name for it is "partial 16S ribosomal RNA". It matches the Rfam family "Bacterial small subunit ribosomal RNA", at positions 355 to 776 of the family's 1533-position model. The record is from RNAcentral.
UGGGGAAUUUUGCACAAUGGGGGAAACCCUGAUGCAGCGACGCCGCGUGAUUUAGAAGGCCUUCGGGUUGUAAAAAUCUUUUCUAUGGGAAGAAAAUGACAGUACCAUAGGAAUAUGGACCGGCUAAUUACGUGCCAGCAGCCGCGGUAAUACGUAAGGUCCGAGCGUUGUCCGGAAUCAUUGGGCGUAAAGGGUACGUAGGCGGGUAAGCAAGUUAGAAGUGAAAUCCUAUAGCUCAACUAUAGUAAGCUUUUAAAACUGCUCAUCUUGAGGUAUGGAAGGGAAAGUGGAAUUCCUAGUGUAGCGGUGAAAUGCGCAGAUAUUAGGAGGAAUACCGGUGGCGAAGGCGACUUUCUGGCCAUAACCUGACGCUGAGGUACGAAAGCGUGGGUAGCAAACAGG